This 416-nucleotide ribosomal RNA is filed under the name uncultured bacterium. RNAcentral's name for it is "bacterial SSU rRNA". It matches the Rfam family "Bacterial small subunit ribosomal RNA", at positions 97 to 507 of the family's 1533-position model. The record is from RNAcentral.
GGCGAACGGGUGAGUAAUAUAUCGGAACGUGCCCGGUCGUGGGGGAUAACGUAGCGAAGCUACGCUAAUACCGCAUACGAUCUACGGAUGAAAAGCGGGGGGAUCGCAAGACCUCGCGCGAUUGGAGCGGCCGAUAUCAGAUUAGGUAGUUGGUGAGGUAAAGGCUCACCAAGCCGACGAUCUGUAGCUGGUCUGAGAGGACGACCCAGCCACACUGGGACUGAGACACGGCCCAGACUCCUACGGGAGGCAGCAGUGGGGAAUUUUGGACAAUGGGCGAAAGCCUGAUCCAGCAAUGCCGCGUGCAGGAAGAAGGCCUUCGGGUUGUAAACUGCUUUUGUACGGAACGAAAAGGCUCUUUCUAAUAAAGAGGGCCCAUGACGGUACCGUAAGAAUAAGCACCGGCUAACUACGUG